CCUACGGGAGGCAGCAGUGAGGAAUAUUGGUCAAUGGACGCAAGUCUGAACCAGCCAUGUCGCGUGCAGGAAGACGGCCCUAUGAGUUGUAAACUGCUUUUGUACGAGGGUAAAUCCCGACACGUGUGUCGGGUUGAAAGUAUCUUACGAAUAAGGAUCGGCUAACUCCGUGCCAGCAGCCGCGGUAAUACGGAGGAUUCAAGCUUUAGCCGGAUUUAUUUGGUUUAAAGGGUGCGUAGGCGGUUAGUUAAGUUAGUGGUGAAAUUCCGGGGCUCAACCCCGGCACUGCCUCUGAUACUGGCAGUCUAGAGUUUAGUUGCGGUAGGCGGAAUGUAUGGUGUAGCGGUGAAAUGCAUAGAGAUCAUACAGAACCCCGAUUGCGAAGGCAGCUUACCAAACUACGACUGACGUUGAGGCACGAAAGCGUGGGGAUCAAACAGGAUUAGAUACCCGAGUAGUC
This 460-nucleotide ribosomal RNA is filed under the name uncultured bacterium. RNAcentral's name for it is "partial 16S ribosomal RNA". It matches the Rfam family "Bacterial small subunit ribosomal RNA", at positions 338 to 795 of the family's 1533-position model. The record is from RNAcentral.